Molecule: long non-coding RNA, 1947 nt
Organism: Nyctereutes procyonoides (raccoon dog)
Lineage: Eukaryota; Metazoa; Chordata; Mammalia; Carnivora; Canidae
Exons: 3
Source: RefSeq, a predicted model, not a curated record
GGGAGGGGGAGACUGGGGCUCAGUAGAAUUUUUUUCUUUUAUUUAUUAUUUAUGAUAGUCACACACACAGAGAGAGAGAGGCAGAGACACAGGCAGAGGGAGAAGCAGGCUCCAUGCACCGGGAGCCCGACGUGGGAUUCGAUCCCGAGACCCCAGGAUCGCGCCCUGGGCCAAAGGCAGGCGCCAAACCGCUGCGCUGGGGCUCAGUAGAGCAGAGAAGUGACAAGUCACGGAGGCUCGGCCAGCCGGCUGCGAUGAGGCAGCUGCACCUGCUCGCUGGCAAGCUGUGGGGUCAGAACCUGUCCUCCCCCAGAGCUGGGGGGCGGCCCUGUCCUUCCUGAUGAUUACAUUUCAAAGGGAUGAUUCUCAGGUCACUCUGGGCUGUGGAGGAACCUACUCCCAGUGGUCGGCCCUUUCUAACAGAUGCCCAAGAAAGGGAAGCCAGGAGCCUGGGGUCAGGAUUGGCUGCAACAAAGAGGAAAUUCCCCUGGCGCUUGAACUCUCUCAAUCGGGCGGGCGUCUUAGUGGGGGGCUGCAUCUCCACGGGGCUAGAGCCCUCCUGGGCACGUGCUCUUAGGUUGCUAGAAACCCUGCGAGAGUUCAGUCACUUGUCUUCGUGCAGAGGUUUGCAUGAGUCGUUAUCCGCCGAAAGUCCUGCAGCUCUCAGAAUUACAUUUAGGGAAGGAGAAGAAAUGGUUUCAAUUAUAUUUGUAAUACUCUGUGUUGGGCCCAAGACUGCGAAUCCGAGAAAACCACCAAGGAGCCGACAGGGAUGCAAGUACAUGAGGGUUUAUUAACAAGCUGGAGCUUGGGUCCGAGUAUACCCCACGGGGCGGGGCAGGGACUUGAACCCGGAGGAGGGGUACAGCUGGGUGUUUAUGGGCUGGUCUAGGGGUAAGGUGGGGUUUUUCUAGGGUGGGGGUGUGAGAAUCUCCAGUAAAGAGGUCCCACGAGCUCUUGCUUCCUUAUUCCGAUAAGCGCUGCUUUGUGCUUUUCUCUGUGGCCGGGCGGGGUAAGGCAGACUGGGUACCUGGUGACCGUGGCCUGGUCACAGUGGCCGGAGGUGGCAGCCCAAGCUCCAAUGGCUGGACUUGUGCCGAUGUUAAACUUGAAUGGCCCUAAUUUUCUCGGCCUCCACAUUUUGUUUCUUAAGAGCUGGGAAGUGUAGCGCAGUAGGUGUUCCAUAUUCUUUUAGAGUCUUUGGUAUACAGAUUUUUUUCCCCAUGAUUUUAAGACUAUUUGACUAAAAUAGCAGAAAGCAUAGUCCAGCCAUUUCAUUAGCAACCAAAACCAUGUUUACUCUCUUCCCAACAGGGGAUGAUGCAGAGCCGCAUGUUAUUAUACCCACUUCCAAGCCCAGGACCUUACCAGGAUGUUCAGUCCUUCUGUGGGGAAAGUUUCUUUUAACAUGGAGAUGAGGGUUUUUGGUGACAACCAUCAAAAAAGAGUAAAAGGCAUGACUCUAGGUCGAUUUACCAUCCUAAUUUCAAGACCUCCACUGCAUCACUUCAAUUGCUGGUGGGUUUUCAGAAGCUUUUCUAAAAUGGUUUUAAACACUAUUAUUAUAUUGAGGCGCCUCAGUGACUCAGUUGGUUAAGUGUCUGCCUUUGGCACAGGUACUGAUGCCAGGGUCCUGGGAUGGAGGCCCCAGGCCAGGGUCCCUCCUCAGUAGGGAGCCUGCUUUUCCCUCUUCCUCUGCCACUCCCCCUGCUUGUGUGCUCUGUCAAAUAACUUUAGCCUUUCUUUUGUACUUUCCAUCUGUAAAUCCAGCCAUCUAACUAGGAGCUUACACAGGAUGACCCACAAACUCAACAUUUCUAAACCCAACUCAUCACGUCUACCUGCUUCCCAAUCCUUACCAUUUCUGCAGAGGUGAAUGGCCAUCAUGGAAAAGGAGGCCAACCAUGUUACUGCUCCUGUCACUGUGUAGGCGAGACCUAAAAAAAG